RNAcentral lists this ribosomal RNA (492 nucleotides) under uncultured bacterium. RNAcentral's name for it is "partial 16S ribosomal RNA". It matches the Rfam family "Bacterial small subunit ribosomal RNA", at positions 29 to 507 of the family's 1533-position model. The record is from RNAcentral.
AGUGAACGCUGGCGGUAGGCCUAACACAUGCAAGUCGAACGGCAGCACAGUAAGAGCUUGCUCUUACGGGUGGCGAGUGGCGGACGGGUGAGGAAUACAUCGGAAUCUACUUUUUCGUGGGGGAUAACGUAGGGAAACUUACGCUAAUACCGCACACGACCUACGGGUGAAAGCAGGGGAUCUUCGGACCUUGCGCGAUUGAAUGAGCCGAUGUCGGAUUAGCUAGUUGGCGGGGUAAAGGCCCACCAAGGCGACGAUCCGUAGCUGGUCUGAGAGGAUGAUCAGCCACAAUGGAAAUGAGACACGGUCCAGACUCCUAAGGGAGGCAGCAGUGGGGAAUAUUGGACAAUGGGCGCAAGCCUGAUCCAGCCAUACCGCGUGGGUGAAGAAGGCCUUCGGGUUGUAAAGCCCUUUUGUUGGGAAAGAAAAGCAGCAGGUUAAUACCCCGCUGUUCUGACGGUACCCAAAGAAUAAGCACCGGCUAACUUCGUG